Molecule: ribosomal RNA, 1304 nt
Filed under: Sepiadariidae sp. GS-2020
Lineage: Eukaryota; Metazoa; Mollusca; Cephalopoda; Sepiida; Sepiadariidae
Description: 16S ribosomal RNA
Rfam family: Bacterial large subunit ribosomal RNA (bases 861-1240)
Source: RNAcentral
GUGUUAAUUAGUUUAAAGAUAUAUUAUUGAGAUAAUAUAAUAAUUGAUCAAUCUAAAUUGUUUGUUUAUGUGUAUAAAGGGUAUAGAUCCAUUGUUUGAGGAGUACUGUAAAGGAAUAUAGUAUUUUAUUUUUAGUAGAAUUUUUAGUUCGUACCUUUUGUAUAAUGGGUUAAUGAUAUAUUUAAAUUUAUAAUAUAAUCUCGAAAUAAAAGGAUUUAUUUAAUAAAAAAUGUGUUAACGUUGUAUAGUUAUAUAUUUAAUAUUAAGUGGUAGUGAUAUGUUAAUCGGCUUUUAUGAUAACUAGUUUAUUAGUUUAUAAUAUUUAGUAUUAUAAUAUUAAUAUAAUAUAAUGGUUUAUUUAAUAUUAGUUUAUUAUAUGGGGGUAAGCUUCAUAUAUAAUAUAGAAUAUGUAUAUUUAUAAUUAUAUUAUUUAAGUAGAAUUAAUAGUAUUUCUCUUUAAAAAUAUAGUUUAAUAAAAAUAUUAAGGGGAUUUCAAGUUGUGUAAUUAAUUAACUAUAAAUGUUUAUAAAUUAGGUUUAAGUAAAUAUAAUGUUAAUAUGAGUAUUUAAUGUUUAAGUGUUAUAGGUUUAAUAAUAUUUAAUUGUAGAUAUUUAAUGUAAACUUAUUGUAAUUAAAUAAUAUAAAGGAAUUCGGCAAAUAUUAAUCUCGCCUGUUUAUCAAAAACAUGUCUCUUUGUAUUUUAUAAAUAAAGAGUUGGGCCUGCUCGGUGAUGUAUUUUAACAGCUGCGGUAUUUUAACUGUACUAAGGUAGCAUAAUAGUUUGCCUUAUAAAUUGAGGCUAGAAUGAAUGGUUUGACGAAGUUUAUGCUGUCUCUAUUUAUUUAUUAGAAAUUAAUUUUUAUAGUGAAAAAGCUUGGAUUUUUUAAAGGGACGAGAAGACCCUGUUGAGCUUAAAUUUUUGUUAUUAAUAUUUGUUAAUUAUUUAUUAAUUUUAAUUGGGGUGAUUAAGGAAUAAUUAUUAAAUAAUAACUUCCUUAGCAUAUAUUUAUACAUAUAAAGUAACCAAUUAUUUGUAUUGCUUGUGUUAUAGUUACCACAGGGAUAACAGCGUAAUUUACUUAAAGAGUUCUUAUUGAAAAGUGAGUUUGCGACCUCGAUGUUGGAUUAAAAUAACCUUAAGGUGUAGAAGCUUUAAUAGGUAAAUCUGUUCGAUUUUUAAAAUUUUACAUGAUCUGAGUUCAGACCGGCGUGAGCCAGGUUGGUUUCUAUCUUUUAAAAAUGUUAUUGUCUUUUUUAGUACGAAAGGACCAAAAAGUACUAAAUUUUUUAUUAUAUUAAACAGU